This 2153-nucleotide ribosomal RNA is filed under the name human gut metagenome. RNAcentral describes it as "bacterial LSU rRNA". It matches the Rfam family "Bacterial large subunit ribosomal RNA", at positions 1 to 2003 of the family's 2925-position model. The record is from RNAcentral.
UGUCGCCCGCAAGGGCGCAUGGUGGAUGCCUUGGCAGACAGUACCGACGAAGGACGUUUGAGGAUGCGAUAAGCCUCGGGGAGCCUCCAGCAUGGCUUCGAUCCGAGGAUCUCCGAAUGGGGCAACCCGCCGGCCGUCAUGGGCCGGCACCGCAGGCUUCUGCGGGGGGUACGCAGGGAAGUGAAACAUCUCAGUACCUGCAGGAAGGGAUACUCCGUGAGUAGUGGCGAGCGAAAGCGGAUCAGACCAAACCGCGCGCGCGUGAUACCCGUCGGGGGUUGCGUGCGCGGUGUUGAGGGAGCGCGUGUCCCGGUUCCGACGGACCGGGCGGGAGUCAUAAAGCGGCUUGCCAGGGGAACAGGCUUGAAGGCCUGGCCGCAGAGGGUGCCAGCCCCGUACCUGGACGCUUGCCGUCUUCCGAUCGCGUGUCCCAAGUAGCGCGGGCCUCGUGGAAUCCCGCGUGAAUCCGCACCGACCGUGGUGUAAGUCUAAGCAUACCUGUCUGACCGAUAGCGUACCAGUACCGUGAGGGAAAGGUGAAAAGCACCCCGGGAGGGGAGUGAAAGAGUUCCUGAAACCGUGCGCCUACGAUCCGUCGGAGCCUCCCUCGUGGGGUGACGGCGUGCCUAUCGAAAAAUGAGUCUGCGAGUCAGUGAUGCGUGGCGAGGCUAACCCGUCGUGGGGCAGCCGUAGCGAAGGCGAGUCCGAACAGGGCGUUUUACAGUCGCGUGUCCUGGACCCGAAGCGGGAUGAUCUAGCCCUGGGCAGGUUGAAGCGCGGGUAAGACCGCGUGGAGGACCGAACCCACCUGGGUUGAAAACCGGGGGGAUGACCUGGGGCUAGGGGUGAAAGGCCAAUCAAAUUCCGUGAUAGCUGGUUCUCUCCGAAAUGCAUUUAGGUGCAGCGUCGGCUUAUUGCAUCGCGGGGGUAGAGCUACCGGAUGCUUGCGGGCCCUUGUGGGGUACCAACAGCAGCCGAACUCCGAAUACCGUUGAUGUGUAUGCCGGCAGUGAGUCGGCGGGGGAUAAGCUCCGUCGUCGAGAGGGAGACAGCCCAGACCGUCGUCCAAGGUCCCCAAGCGUGUGCUAAGUGGGAAAGGAUGUGGGGCCGCAUAGACAGCCAGGAGGUUGGCUCAGAAGCAGCCAUCCUUGAAAGAGUGCGUAACAGCUCACUGGUCUAGUGGUCCCGCGCCGACAAUGUAGCGGGGCUCAAGCACACCACCGAAGACGCGGCGGCGCGUGUAUGCGCGCCGGGUAGGAGAGCGUCCUGCAAGGGGCGAAGCGGCCGGGUGACCGUGCCGUGGACUUUGCGGGAGUGAGAAUGCAGACAUGAGUAGCGAGAGACGGGUGAGGAUCCCGUCCGCCGGAUGACCAAGGGUUCCGGGGCCACGUUCGUCGUCCCCGGGUGAGUCGGGUCCUAAGGCGAGGCCGACAGGCGUAGUCGAAUGGAUGAACGGGUGGAUAUUCCCGUACCGGCAGCGAACCGACAGGACCGAGGCGGUGAGUACUAACCUCCGUCGCGGGCCGUUCCCCUCCUUCGGGUGGGGUCCGGCGCGUGGCGUUGGGAGCGUAGCCGUGGUAGGUGAGCGCAGGGGUGACACGGAAUGGGAGCCGGCCGCGGAGGUGGUUUUCCGUGGUCAAGCACGCAGCCGGUCGCACAGGCAAAUCCGUGCGGCGCGUACGGCGAGGUGCGAUGAUGGGAGCCGUUUCGGCUCGAUAUCCGGUGGUCCAGGCCGUCGAGAAAAGCCCCGGCGUCAGGCGCGUUGCCGCCCGUACCCCAAACCGACACUGGUGGUCAGGUAGAGAAUACCAAGGCGAUCGAGCGAAUCCUGGUCAAGGAACUCGGCAAACCGCUCCCGUGCCUUCGGCAUAAGGGAGACCCCCGCGGGUGAACGGACAUGCUCCGGGAGCGUGUGGGGGUGGCACAGACCAGGGGGUAGCGACUGUUUACCAAAAACACAGGUGCAUGCGAAGGCGUAAGCCGCUGUAUAUGCACUGACGCCUGCCCGGUGCCGGAAGGUUAAGAGGAUCCGUCAGCCCCUCUUGGGGGUGAAGCGGUGAAUUCAAGCCCCGGUAAACGGCGGUGGUAACUAUAACCAUCCUAAGGUAGCGAAAUUCCUUGUCGGGUAAGUUCCGACCUGCACGAAUGGCGUA